This 468-nucleotide ribosomal RNA is filed under the name uncultured bacterium. Its description in RNAcentral is "partial 16S ribosomal RNA". It matches the Rfam family "Bacterial small subunit ribosomal RNA", at positions 28 to 507 of the family's 1533-position model. The record is from RNAcentral.
GACGAACGCUGGCGGCGUGCUUAACACAUGCAAGUCGAACGGAAAGGCCCUGCUUUUGUGGGGUGCUCGAGUGGCGAACGGGUGAGUAACACGUGAGUAACCUGCCCUUGACUUUGGGAUAACUUCAGGAAACUGGGGCUAAUACCGGAUAGGAGCUCCUGCUGCAUGGUGGGGGUUGGAAAGUUUCGGCGGUUGGGGAGGGACUCGCGGCUUAUCAGCUUGUUGGUGGGGUAGUGGCUUACCAAGGCUUUGACGGGUAGCCGGCCUGAGAUGGUGACCGGCCACAUUGGGACUGAGAUACGGCCCAGACUCCUACGGGAGGCAGCAGUGGGGAAUAUUGCACAAUGGGCGGAAGCCUGAUGCAGCAACGCCGCGUGCGGGAUGACGGCCUUCGGGUUGUAAACCGCUUUCGCCUGUGACGAAGCGUGAGUGACGGUAAUGGGUAAAGAAGCACCGGCUAACUACGUG